Molecule: ribosomal RNA, 1097 nt
Filed under: Graphis streblocarpa
Lineage: Eukaryota; Fungi; Ascomycota; Lecanoromycetes; Ostropales; Graphidaceae
Description: LSU rRNA
Rfam family: Eukaryotic large subunit ribosomal RNA
Source: RNAcentral
UUGUAAUUUGGAGAAGGUGCUUCGGAAGAGAUGAUGGUCCAAGUCCCUUGGAACAGGGCGUCAUAGAGGGUGAGAAUCCCGUAUGUGACCGAUUAUCGCUUCCAUGUGAAGCCCUUUCGACGAGUCGAGUUGUUUGGGAAUGCAGCUCUAAAUGGGUGGUAAAUUUCAUCUAAAGCUAAAUACCUGCCAGAGACCGAUAGCGCACAAGUAGAGUGAUCGAAAGAUGAAAAGCACUUUGAAAAGAGAGUCAAACAGUACGUGAAAUUGUUGAAAGGGAAGCGCUUGCAAUCAGACUCGUUUGCAGAAGCUCAGCCUUCCUUCGGGAUGGUGUAUUCUUCUGUCAACGGGCCAGCAUCAGUUUUGACGGCUGGAUAAAGACUCUGGGAACGUAGCUCUUUUCGGAGAGUGUUAUAGCCUGGAAUGUAAUGCAGCCAGUUGAGACUGAGGUCCGCGCUUUUGCUAGGAUGCUGGCGUAAUGGUUGCUAGCGACCCGUCUUGAAACACGGACCAGUAAGUUGAUCAAUAAGCUGUCAAGUGUUCACAUGCUAAUGCCUAUUGCAGAGGAGUCGACCAAUGACGCGAGUGUUUGGGUGUAAAACCCAUGCGCGUAAUGAAAGUGAACGUAGGUAGGAGUCUUCGGACGCACUAUCGACCGAUCUUGAUGUCUUCGGAUGGAUUUGAGUACGAGCAUUAUUGGUCGGACCCGAAAGAUGGUGAACUAUGCGCGGAUAGGGUGAAGCCAGAGGAAACUCUGGUGGAGGCUCGCAGCGGUUCUGACGUGCAAAUCGAUCGUCAAAUCUACGCAUAGGGGCGAAAGGUAAUUGGAAUAUACUGUCUGAAGAAAAUUUGAGUAAGAAUGCUAACUUUGAACAGACUAAUCGAACCGUCUAGGUACGGAAUUCCCAUCAAUUUCCUCUCUAAACGGCUUACUAACUUUCCUAACAGUAGCUGGUUCCUGCCGAAGUUUCCCUCAGGAUAGCAGCAACGAAUAUAGCAGUCUCAUGAGGUAGAGCAACGAUUAGAGGCCUUGGGGACGAAAUGUCCUUAACCUAUUCUCGAACUUCGAAUAUGUGAGAAGUCCUUGUUACUUAGUUGAA